AUGGGGAAGCUCACCCAUGUGUUACUUCUUCUGCUGCUUCUUCCCCGGCUUCAGCUUUAUGACCUCAUCGAUGUACAGUAUGCCCUUCCCCUUGUACACUUCCGGAGGUUUACUGCUUCGGACGGCUCCCGCGAAAUGGUGCACCCUGUGCUUGUCGAUGCCAGUGCAGCAUAUUAUGUUGGGUUUGAAGCAGAAGACACGGACGGCGGGUGGAGCGGUGAACUGCACCUCGUGGCUGUAGCCAAGUUUCAGAAACAACUCACGGCCUCCUUGCUCUGUCCUUGCUUUGAAACCAACUCCGACAAGCUUCAGGAACCGAAAGAACUUGGAUUCCAUUGCAACAAGGGAAGUUCGUCUGAGGAUGAACUGUUUGAUUCCGGCUUACCUUCACAAAACAAGGACAAAAGGAUGAAACACCGACUCAAAACUCUGAAGCCCUACUCGGUUCCUCGACUAUUGAAGAUGGGGGUUCACGAUGCCAUAUAUUGA
RNAcentral lists this ribosomal RNA (489 nucleotides) under Triticum aestivum (bread wheat). RNAcentral's name for it is "partial small subunit ribosomal RNA". The record is from RNAcentral. Lineage: Eukaryota; Viridiplantae; Streptophyta; Magnoliopsida; Poales; Poaceae.